CUUCAAACGGAACCCCCUUC
This 20-nucleotide non-coding RNA is filed under the name Rattus norvegicus (Norway rat). Lineage: Eukaryota; Metazoa; Chordata; Mammalia; Rodentia; Muridae. The record is from RNAcentral.